UACGGAGGGUGCAAGCGUUACUCGGAAUCACUGGGCGUAAAGAGCGUGUAGGCGGUUUAGUAAGUCUGAUGUGAAAGCCCCCGACUCAAUCGGGGAAGUGCAUUGGAUACUGCUUGACUAGAGUACAGGAGGGGAAAGCGGAAUUCCUGGUGGAGAGGUGAAAUUCGUAGAUAUCAGGAGGAACAACGGUGGCGAAGGCGGCUUUCUGGACUGUAACUGACGCUGAGACGCGAAAGCGUGGGUAGCAAACAGG
This 253-nucleotide ribosomal RNA is filed under the name uncultured bacterium. RNAcentral's name for it is "partial 16S ribosomal RNA". It matches the Rfam family "Bacterial small subunit ribosomal RNA", at positions 524 to 776 of the family's 1533-position model. The record is from RNAcentral.